UACGUAGGGGGCGAGCGUUGUCCGGAUUUAUUGGGCGUAAAGAGCGUGUAGGCGGCCAGGUAGGUCUGCUGUGAAAACUCGAGGCUCAACCUCGAGACGUCGGCGGAAACCAUCUGGCUAGAGUCCGGAAGAGGAGAGUGGAAUUCCUGGUGUAGCGGUGAAAUGCGCAGAUAUCAGGAAGAACACCCGUGGCGAAGGCGGCUCUCUGGGACGGUACUGACGCUGAGACGCGAAAGCGUGGGAGCGAACAGG
RNAcentral lists this ribosomal RNA (252 nucleotides) under uncultured bacterium. RNAcentral describes it as "partial 16S ribosomal RNA". It matches the Rfam family "Bacterial small subunit ribosomal RNA", at positions 524 to 776 of the family's 1533-position model. The record is from RNAcentral.